This 301-nucleotide ribosomal RNA is filed under the name uncultured bacterium. Its description in RNAcentral is "partial 16S ribosomal RNA". It matches the Rfam family "Bacterial small subunit ribosomal RNA", at positions 509 to 807 of the family's 1533-position model. The record is from RNAcentral.
CAGUCGCCGCGGGAAUACGUAGGGUGCAAGCGUUAAUCGGAAUUACUGGGCGUAAAGCGUGCGCAGGCGGUUUGUUAAGACAGAUGUGAAAUCCCCGGGCUCAACCUGGGAACUGCAUUUGUGACUGGCAAGCUAGAGUCUGGCAGAGGGGGGUGGAAUUCCGCGUGUAGCAGUGAAAUGCGUAGAUAUGCGGAGGAACACCGAUGGCGAAGGCAGCCCCCUGGGCCAACACUGACGCUCAUGCACGAAAGCGUGGGGAGCAAACAGGAUUAGAUACCCGUGUAGUCCCUGUCUCUUAUAC